GGGGAGGAGACAUCAGCUCCACGUGAGCCCCAGCGUUUCCCUCAGAGUGGUCCUGAGACCAUCACCAUCAUGGAAGGAGGAAGACCUACAGAUCUGCUAGGAUGUUGGUGGCUCUGGCUGAUGCAAGCCCAGCAGGUGUUCUUCGCCUAGCUGUCGCUGUGAUGAACAGCUUCCUGUGGCCGAGCAGAUAACAGAACACACACAGGUUAACAGCAAGAGUGACAGCUGAGCUCCUGACAUCAGCAAGGGUUGGCUAGCUGGCACCAGCCAGGCCUUCUCUCUUUCCCGGGAGGCAACCCAGCCCCUGCAGCCCAGACUGUCCAGCCAAGAGCAUCAGGUGUCUCGGAGGGAGCAUUAGCACAGAGAGAGGACACUUGGAAGGAGCUGGAGCAGAGACCACUGAGACCUUACCCACAGCAAGACGCUGUUAUGGAAGGUGCAGCUGCCAAGGUGCAUGGAGACCACAUCUGUGGUCAAAGGAGGCUACAUCUUGAGCUGUCAGAGAACUUGGAAGUACUACUCAAAAGGUGUUGUUUCUGCAGGCAGCAAAAUGUAAGAGUUAUGGGGACAUGGAGACUUAUACCAAGGGUCCAGAAAGCUGAAAAGGAUCAGAUUGCCUGCAAGGAAACUGUAGUGGUUUGGAUAAGAAUACCCUGCUAUUUCUUUUGGGCCAUGGACACUCUCCAUCCUGCUCAGCCCCGGAGAGACUCCAUCGGGAUGGAGACCUCUCUCCUCUCGCCUGGACCUGCUGGCAAGGAGCCAGCACAGUGCCAUGCUUGUUUGCCUGCUACCAUAAUGGCUAUGGACUCUACUCCCUCUCUGACACUCUAAGCAAACCCCCAAUUCAACUCUCUCUUUUAUAAGUUGCCUCGGUGAUGGUGUCUCUUCACAACAAUAGAAAAAUAACUAAGAGACCUUAAGCAGUCAUUGUUUGAAGCUGUGGGAGGGAAGCCUAUGUUGAAAUGGAGAUCACAAGUAUGUUGGAUAUGCCAAGACCAAAGGAUAUCUGCCAAGAAAAGCUGCAAGCACGGAGUAUGGCUGGCCUAAGAGAGAGGCUCUGUGUGCUGUAGGAGGCGGAACUGAGGGGCCUGCGCUGCUCAAGGCUACUAGAGUCCAGAUGACACCGCCACGAACCUCAGGUGUCUGACAUGGAAUUACAGCUUUGUUCUCUCCCUGCUUGCUUCGGUCUUGCAUUGGUCUGAUCUUUACUGUGGUGGCCCAUUUUUUCCAUUUGGAAUGGGAAUGCUGGAUCUGUGCUAUUAUAUACAGAAACAUGUGGCUUACUGUUUGAUUUGAUGGAGCUCACUGUUCAGAUUGUCUU
Molecule: long non-coding RNA, 1321 nt
Organism: Mus musculus (house mouse)
Lineage: Eukaryota; Metazoa; Chordata; Mammalia; Rodentia; Muridae
Product: predicted gene, 34293
Exons: 5
Source: RefSeq, a predicted model, not a curated record